RNAcentral lists this ribosomal RNA (342 nucleotides) under Theileria ovis. RNAcentral's name for it is "SSU rRNA". It matches the Rfam family "Eukaryotic small subunit ribosomal RNA", at positions 548 to 923 of the family's 1831-position model. The record is from RNAcentral. Lineage: Eukaryota; Apicomplexa; Aconoidasida; Piroplasmida; Theileriidae.
UUGGAGGGCAAGUCUGGUGCCAGCAGCCGCGGUAAUUUCCAGCUCCAAUAGCGUAUAUAAAAUUGUUGCAGUUAAAAAGCUCGUAGUUGAAUUUCUGCUGCAUUGCUUUUGCUCCUUUACGAGUCUUUGCAUUGUGGCUUAUUUCGGACUUUGUUUUACAAUGUCCGGAUGUUUACUUUGAGAAAAUUAGAGUGCUCAAAGCAGGCUUUCGCCUUGAAUAGUUUAGCAUGGAAUAAUAAAGUAGGACUUUGGUUCUAUUUUGUUGGUUUUAGGUACCAAAGUAAUGGUUAAUAGGAACAGUUGGGGGCAUUCGUAUUUAACUGUCAGAGGUGAAAUUCUUAG